GUCUCCCCGCGGGCUGGAGGCGGUCGGCGAUUUACACGAGUCGCUGCUCCGGGGUCGCUCCGCACCGCCUCCGGAUCCUGCUCGGCGUUCGGACCGGCGUGUCGUGCCACGCAGCACCUAGGGGUCGGCGGGAUUGAGUUUUACCGAAUCGAACCGCCUGUUCGGUGGGGCGCAGGGAGGCCCGGCGGCGAGCUCCGGCGCCUGCGGCCCCGUGUGCCGGUACAGCCGGGCGCCGACAUCCAGCCCGGUGGUGGGAGACCAGCGUCUCGCCCGGGAGGCCUCCCUGCACGGCAGAAGCGCAGUUCCAGGCACCACUGCUGCCAGGCGCAUCCCUUCACUUCAAUCUACUUUUAAAUGUAAAAUAUUUAAAAAUCAAGUUGAAAUAACAGGAGUGGUAAACAAACGCCAUGCACCAUUGGAAGCUGGAAAGAAGCUUGUUUGAUUGCCAGCAGCUUGACUGUUGCCAAGUUCCCCUUCUUUGGCAAGCAGGGCUGAUCAACCCUCUCACAAAGGCCUAACAAGAUGAUCACAGCAACACUUUGCUAACACAGAAUCAAGUGAGUUGACUGAAAAAAAGUGCAUGUGGUUCAUCUAUUUUCACCCAUAUCUGCUGAGAAACAUACUUAGUAAGUGAAGUAAAAGUUAAGUAAAAAAAGUAAAUGAAACAGAAUGAAAUUAUAUUCAGACCAUUAAAGUCUGAAAUGGAAGCAUUCCAACAUGCGAAUGACAAAUUUGAGAGGAGACAGCAAAUGAGAAAUACUGGGAUAAUGGAAUCAAAGUAUGAGGGCAGGAAAAUGUAUUCCCUGAGAAACACAAACCAGACAACAGCCACCAGAUGAGUGGAGUUGCAGAGAGGAUACUGCUGUGCAACAUAAAUGACAUGUAUGCAGGGAAUCCCAGCUUCUAACUCUUGUCCUUGUCUGUUGCUACUUGAGAAGUGGAAGAAAGACCUGAUCUUACCUUCUGCUGUACCUGCAUGAAUGAUCAGGUCUGUCAAUGUGAACAGUGGUCAGAUAUAUUUUAAGGCAAUUCUGAAGGUCCUGGGAGGCUGCCUGAGCAGGCAACAUAGUUGGUUCUGAGCAUUUCCAUGCUUAUCAC
Aquila chrysaetos chrysaetos is the source of this 1098-nucleotide long non-coding RNA. RefSeq lists it as uncharacterized. The record is from RefSeq and is a predicted model, not a curated record. NCBI's taxonomy places the organism in Eukaryota, Metazoa, Chordata, Aves, Accipitriformes, Accipitridae. The transcript has 3 exons.